CAGUCGCCGCGGGAAUACGUAGGGUGCGAGCGUUAAUCGGAAUUACUGGGCGUAAAGCGUGCGCAGGCGGUUGUGUAAGACAGGUGUGAAAUCCCCGGGCUUAACCUGGGAACUGCGCUUGUGACUGCACAGCUAGAGUAUGGCAGAGGGGGGUGGAAUUCCACGUGUAGCAGUGAAAUGCGUAGAGAUGUGGAGGAACACCGAUGGCAAAGGCUGCCCCCUGGGCCAAUACUGACGCUCAUGCACGAAAGCGUGGGGAGCAAACAGGAUUAGAUACCCCCGUAGUCCCUGUCUCUUAUAC
This 301-nucleotide ribosomal RNA is filed under the name uncultured bacterium. Its description in RNAcentral is "partial 16S ribosomal RNA". It matches the Rfam family "Bacterial small subunit ribosomal RNA", at positions 509 to 807 of the family's 1533-position model. The record is from RNAcentral.